CUGGAAUCUACGGAGCCCCCCUAGUGUCAGGUAAGAGAAAAAAACACAGCCGUGUGUAAUCCGUGCCCUCAGUUUUGCAAACCGUACCUUCGGUUUUGCCAUACGUGCCCUCGAUUUUGUAAACCGUACCCUAAGUUUUGCAAUCCGUGCCCUCGGUUUUGCAAUCCGUGCUCUCGGUUUGUACUCUGCGUGCGCUUCCUUCUUCACUUCUUUCUGCAGCAAACAAGAGACCAUAGGACUUUUCGAUGGCGUACAUCUGCCUGAAUGGACCAGAUUUUAGACAUGUUCCUUCGAGUGAGGAGGUUAUUGCCACCUUCAUCAAUGAAAAGAUUGACUGCCAUGCUGUCCAUGGUAUGACAGAUGACCAGCUAAUUAAAUAUGUGCCCAAAAUUGGAGAUCGGAUAGCUAUUCGGCAGUACUGCAGAAGAGAAAUGGCUGCAUUGGAAGGAACCACCGCAACUAUCUCUAAGGCUACAGAAAGCCUGAUGGCAAAAAAACAAAACAAAGACGGGCCUCCAAGAGAAGUCGUGGGGAUGAUCGUUCAGAAAAAUUGUCGGGUAACACUAAUGCUCUGAAAACGGAGCGUGCUUUUCAAAUGGGAUUGUUUGAAGAAGUAGGGGACUCUUGUAUUCAGGUAAAAGAGAAAAGGGGAGGAGGGAUCAGACAUUUGAAAGCAUUGAAGACUACUACAAUGGCACAGCUGUUGGAGACUGGCAAAGAACUCUUUUUUCCGAAUGUAAAAUGUAAAAUAGGCAAUGCCAAUGAAUUUGAAUUCACCAUGCGAGAUGUUACUGAAGAUCAGCUGGAUCCAUUGACCACACUAGCUCAGCAAUAUGAGAAGAGAAAAGUUAAAUUGUUGAGACUGUAUCUAUCUUGCAAAAAGAUUGACAUUGAAGGAGAUGAAACACUGAAUGCUGCUACCUCACCUGGUGAAUCACAAAAUGCAUCAGCCCUCACAAGUGAAUCAUGCUGUGCAGCUGCUGCUUCACAUGGAGCUGUUUCCAUAAUUGGAUCUCCCAGUGGAACUGCUUUCACAACUGGAACUCCAAGUACAAGUGAAUUUGCCAGUCCAAUGUCGAGUGAAACUUUGAAUGCCGUAGAUUACAGUAUCUCUUUGUAAAUAUUUGAUUAUAUCUUUUCAUGUGACAACAUUGAAGAAAUGACACUUUGCUAUAAUGUAAAGUAGUGAGUGUACAGCUUGUGAAACUGUGUAGAUUUGCUGUCCCCUCAAAAUAACUCAAUACACAGCCAUUAAUGUCUAAACCGCUGGCAACAAAAUUGAGUACACCCCUAAGUGAAAAUGUCCAAAUUGGGCCCAAAGCUUCAAUAUUUUGUGUGGCCACCAUUAUUUUCCAGCACUGCCUUAACCCUCUUGGGCAUGGAGUUCACCAGAGCUUCACAGAUUGCCACUGGAGUCCUCUUCCACUCCUCCAUGAUGACAUCACGGAGCUGGUGGAUGUUAGAGACAUCCACCUUCCAUUUGAGGAUGCCCCACAGAUGCUCAAUAGGGUUUAGUCCAUCACCUUCACCCUCAGCUUCUUUAGCAAGGCAGUGGUCGUCUUGGAGGUGUGUUUGGGGUCGUUAUUAUGCUGGAAUACUGCCCUGCGUCCCAGUCUCCGAAGGGAUGGGAUCAUGCUCUGCUUCAGUAUGUCAGACCAUGACACUCCCACCACCAUGCUUGACUGUAGGCAAGACACACUUGUCUUUGUACUCCUCACCUGGUUGCCGCCACACACGCUUGACACCAUCUGAACCAAAUAAGUUUAUCUUGGUCUCAUCAGACCACAGGACAUGGUUCCAGUAAUCCAUGUCCUUAGUAUGCUUGUCUUCAGCAAACUGUUUGCGGGCUUUCUUGUGCAUCAUCUUUAGAAAAGGCUUCCUUCUGGGACAACAGCCAUGCAGACCAAUUUGAUGCAGUGUGCGGUGUAUGAUCUGAGCACUGACAGGCUGACCCCCACCCCUUCAACCUGUGCAGCAAUGCUGGCAGCACUCAUACGUCUAUUUCCCAAAGACAACCUCUGGAUAUGAUGCUGAGCACGUGCACUCAACUUCUUUGGUCGACCAUGGCGAGGCCUGUUCUGAGUGGAACCUGUCCUGUUAAACCGCUGUAUGGUCUUGGCCACCGUGCUGCAGUUCAGUGUCAGGGUCUUGGCAAUCUUCUUAUAGCCUAGGCCAUCUUUAUGUAGAGCAACAAUUCUUUUUUUCAGACCCUCAGAGAGUUCUUUUGCCAUGAAGUGCCAUGUUGAACUUCCAGUGACCAGUAUGAGGGAGUGCGAGAGCGAUGACACCAAAUUUAACACACCUGCUCCCCAUUCACACCUGAGACCUUGUAAUACUAACAAGUCACAUGACACUCGGAGAGAAUAUGGCUAAUUCGGCCCAAUUUGGACAUUUUCACUUAGGGAUGUACUCACUUUUGUUGCCAACGGUUUAGACAUUAAUGGCUGUGUGUUGAGUUUUUUUGAGGGGACAGCAAAUUUACACUGUUACACAAGCUGUACACUCACUACUUUACAUUGUAGCAAAGUGUCAUUUCUUCAGUGUUGUCACAUGAAAAGAUAUAGCCAAAUAUUUACAAAAAUGUGAGGGGUGUACUCACUUUUGUGAGAUACUGUACGUCUCAACAGAGCAUGACAUGCUGGAUAAGGAGGAUUUAAUUGUUGUACCAGAGGCAUCAUUUUUAAUUGAUGAGGAAAUUGUGCUCGGAUAUGCUUUUCUUGAUGAUUGCCAGGAUGACCUUGAUGAUACCCUUCCAAUGGACCCAGUGCAGGAGGACAGGUUUACAGGACAGGAACCUUGUCAACCACCAAAGAUCAUCAGGCUAAGGCUUCACAGGGGAAAUGUUUUCAGUGAACUAAAUGCUGCUUUUAAAAAUGGUUGUGUGUUUGUAGAUGAGUCUCUCUUGGAGAUUGAGAUGGUCUUACCCAAUGGUAACACAAAGAAAGGAGAAGACAAUGGUGAAGUUUUGUGUGAUGUGUUAAGUGAGUACUGGGAGACCUUUAUUAUGAAAUGCACUGCUGGAAACUUACUUCAAAUACCAAUGACGAGACAUGACAUGAAAGAUGAGUGGAAACACAUAGCUAAAGUCAUGGUCCUUGGCUACAACCUGGUCAAGUACUUUCCCAUUGUGCUGGCCAAGCCCUUCCUCUCCUACUGUCUUGGACAUGAAAUCAUGGAUCACCUUUUUUCAACAUUCUUAGAGAUAGUUUCCAUUGAAGAAAAAGAAGUUGCUGAGCAAGCGAUGAAAGACUUCCAAACCUUCUCUGGAAGAGAGGAAUGGUUGGAUUUCCUAGAGGCACAUGAUGGCAAACUUCUCGUCACAGAAGCAAAUGUCAGAAAAACUUACUUGAAGUGGCACAUAGAGAAAUAGUUCAGGAGCCUGCAUAGAUAGCAGAGUGUUGGAGCAGUGUGCUCAAAGGGCUGAAACUGCCCCCAGGAGGAUUGGAUGAAGUCCUGGCCAGCCUCAUUCCUACACCCAGGAAGGUUGUUGCCAUGAUACAACAUGAGAUCCUCAACAAGAGAGAAAAUCAGAUUCUUGAUUUUCUCAAGAAGUUUAUAAGGAAUUGUGGUGAACUUCGGCUGAGGAAAUUUCGCAGGUUUUGCACUGGUGCAGAUCUCCUAGUUGCCCAGAAUAUCCAGGUCUGAUUCAUGUAGCCGGAGAUUAUGUUUACUAGAACACCCCAGGCCCACACAUGUGGCUGUGUGUUGGAAGUCCCAAACAACUAUGUGUCAUACCCAGUUUUGGUUGAAGAGUUCGUUAAUGUUCUUGAUGCAAACAUGCGGGUCAUGGACAUUAUUUAGUGGUAAGUGACUGGUGUCAGUUUAAGUCAAAAUUACAUUUUGUGAAUUUGAUUGGGAAACCCAUCUGCUUGUGGCCAGCUUGGUAGAGAAAUAGAGGGGAUAUCAGGAUAAAACAUAUUGUCAUACAUACGGCAUAUACAGAUGACAAGCAUGAUUCCAUGAAACAUAAAAGAUGGUAUGAUACAUACAAAAGGGAGGUUGGAUAUAGGGCAGUAAUUUGCCAGGUUAUAAGGAUCAAGGUUGGGUUUUUUGAGAGAUGGUUUGAUCACUGAUAUUUGACAAUUGUGGUACAUAUCUGGGAUUUUUAAAUACUUUAAAGGGCUCAUUGUUUGCUUUUCCGUCUUUUUCCCUUACCUUUAGUGUGUUAUAGAUCUUGUUGCAUGUAAACGGUCUGCACAGUUAUAAACCCCAAAGUACACUCCAGAGGGCGUAGCUCUCUCCCGCAGAAACUAUUUUUCUGUUGCCUGAAAAUUCCACUUCUUCCAUGACAUGAUGAUGCAAUCUCAUUACACUAUUAGGGUGAGCUGACGAAUCAGAGCACACUGGGCUCAUCAGAGGUGGGGUUUUAAAGACACAGGAGCAAAAGGAGCACUAACAGUGUUUCAGACAUAGGGCAGAUAUGCAGUAUGAGGAAACAUACUGUGUUUUGGAAACACUGAAGCAUGUAAAUCUAUUCUAGUAGAUGCCCUAAAUAAAAUUAUAAACAUUGAAAAUGAGCAUACAAUGGGUUCUUUGUUUCAUUUUAUAAGGGCAGUGCGUGCAUAAGUAGUUUAGUAGGAAUGGGGUCUAGUAGGCACAUUGAUGAUCUAGACGAGGAUGUCAGGGAAGUAAGUAGUAUAACAACUGAGGUUAAGUGAAGUCAGUAUAAGUAUUGGAUUUGUAAGAUAAAAGUGUAAAGCAAUCAGCAGUGACAGUAGACGCUGUGCAAUGUAUGGAGAGCCUCUUCAAAACUCCAAAUCAGGAAGUGCUUACCUAUUACUCAGGACACCACCAUAAAGGCCACCUGCCGGAGACACAAGUAGCACACAGAGAAGAGGAGGGGCUAGGCAGGGCUGUGACAGUCCGUACAUCUGUAUUUGCAUGUGUGUGUCCAUAUCCAAUCUCUGAGGGACAGCAUAUUUAUAUUUGUGUUUUUCUAUGUUUGUAAAUCUUAAAAGGGAUACAUUAGUUAUAUUUAGGAGUGAUGGUUCUCACUUUGUUCUUGUUCCAUGUUUUUUUGCAAAAAUAAAAAAAAUUUGCUAUGUUUGCA
Molecule: long non-coding RNA, 5050 nt
Organism: Ictalurus punctatus (channel catfish)
Lineage: Eukaryota; Metazoa; Chordata; Actinopteri; Siluriformes; Ictaluridae
Source: Ensembl